GUGGGGAGCAAACAGGAUUAGAUACCCUGGUAGUCCACGCCGUAAACGAUGAGUGCUAGGUGUCGGGGAGGAAUCCUCGGUGCCGCAGCUAACGCAAUAAGCACUCCACCUGGGGAGUACGACCGCAAGGUUGAAACUCAAAGGAAUUGACGGGGGCCCGCACAAGCGGUGGAGCAUGUGGUUUAAUUCGAAGCAACGCGAAGAACCUUACCAAGGCUUGACAUCCCGAUGACCGCUCUAGAGAUAGAGUUUCUCUUCGGAGCAUCGGUGACAGGUGGUGCAUGGUUGUCGUCAGCUCGUGUCGUGAGAUGUUGGGUUAAGUCCCGCAACGAGCGCAACCCUUAUCCUUAGUAGCCAUCAUUGAGUUGGGCACUCUAGGGAGACUGCCGUGGAUAACACGGAGGAAGGUGGGGAUGACGUCAAAUCAUCAUGCCCCUUAUGUCUUGGGCUACACACGUGCUACAAUGGCUGGUAACAGAGUGAAGCGAGACGGCGACGUUAAGCAAAUCACAAAAACCCAGUCCCAGUUCGGAUUGUAGUCUGCAACUCGACUACAUGAAGCUGGAAUCGCUAGUAAUCGCGAAUCAGAAUGUCGCGGUGAAUACGUUCCCGGGCCUUGUACACACCGCCCGUCACACCAUGGGAGUUGGAAGCACC
Molecule: ribosomal RNA, 657 nt
Filed under: uncultured Clostridium sp.
Lineage: Bacteria; Bacillati; Bacillota; Clostridia; Eubacteriales; Clostridiaceae
Description: bacterial SSU rRNA
Rfam family: Bacterial small subunit ribosomal RNA
Source: RNAcentral